GUGGUCAUACAAAUCUAGGAUACAGAAAUAAGGUGCAGUAAGAAAAUUAAAAUAUCUGAAAGUAAAUUACGAAAUUUAAAGUAAAAAAAUUUAGCUUGUAAAAAUUUAAAUUGCUGAAUUUAAACUAAAAUCCUAAUCAACCGGCUCUGAUACUAAAUCAAUGUGGGACAAUCCUAACGAAAAGAAAAAGAAGUCAAUCCUAAAGAUCAAGCUUCUUUUUGUUCAUC
Molecule: long non-coding RNA, 227 nt
Filed under: Elaeis guineensis (African oil palm)
Lineage: Eukaryota; Viridiplantae; Streptophyta; Magnoliopsida; Arecales; Arecaceae
Description: long non-coding RNA (EGUI_LNC028377)
Source: RNAcentral